AUUUAGAAGAUUAAAAGCGAUAAUGGAACAUAGUUCAAGAAUGCUCAAAUUGAAUAAUUUUUAGGAAGAGGGAAUCAAACAUGAGUUCUCCUCUUCCUAUACAUCGCAACAAAAUGGUGCGAUAGAUAGUAAGAAUCGAACUCUUAUGGAUAUGGUGAGGACCAUACUUGAAGAAUACAAGACUUCAGGUCGAUUUUGGGCGAAGGCAGCUAACAUGACGUGCUACACCAUCAACCGGUUAUAUCUUCACCGAAUUCUCAAGAAAACAUCCUAUGAACUUCUUAUCUUAUUGAUAAAAUCCUAAUAUUUCAUACUUUAGCCUUUGGGAGUAAAUGCUUUAUUCUUGUUAAGGGUAGAAACUCUAAAUUUGCUCCUAAAACUGUAGAAGGCUUUUUUACUUGGUUACGACUCAAACAUAAGGGCAUAUAGUCUUCAACAAAUCCACUAGAUUAGUUGAAGUGUCUUAUGAUGUUGUGUUUGAUGAUACUAAUGGUUCUCAAGUAGAGCAAGUUGAUCUUAAUGAGCUAGAUGACGAGGAGGCUCCCUGCACCAUGCUAAGGAACAUGUCCAUCGAGGAUAUGUGUCCACAAAAGCCACAGGAGUCAACACAAGCACAAGAUCAACUAUCAUCCUCCACAAAAGCAUCUCCUCCAACUCAGGAUGUGAGCAAGCCCAAGAAGAUAAUGAACUAGUUCAAGAUCAAGAUCAAGACCAAGCUCAAGAUGAUGGCAUACAUCAAGGGGUGAUGAAGAAGAAGAUAAAGAAAUGGAGGAUGAGUAGGAGAUUUAGGCAACAAAAGCGCCACACCCAAGAGCCAAUCAGCAAUUCAAAGGGAUCACCCCAUCGAGAUGAUCCUAUCCAAAAGGGGUAACCUGCAUCACACAUGAAGUGCAUAUGCUCUCCUUGGCUUCUCGUCAAAUAAACGAGAAAAGAUAAGCUUUAUCUGCUUGCAUUGCAUGUGUGACCAAUCAUGCAACCACCACAAGCGCUUCCUCCUAUAAUGCACCAGUUUGCAACCACCAUGACCGCUUCCUUCUAUAAUUCACCAGUUUUGACCGUAGUCCUGCGCACGAAGCGUAUAAAUUUGUUCCCCUCCAUCACUUCUCGCAUAACAAACUAGAUAAGAUAAGACUUAUCACUUGCUUGCAAGCAUAACCAACCAUGCAACCACCACGAGCGCUUCCUCCUCCUCGUUGUUGUCAUCGUAUAUUAAUCCACAACUUCCCAUCAUCCCAUCCACCGACUCACCAGCCAUUGCCGUCAUGUCCCACCUGUCGUGCUGCCUUUAUCUCCUCCAUCGACAAUCCCCUUGAAGAGUUGGGUUUUGUAUUGGUUCUUUGUAAAUAAUUUAUUAGAUUUUGAGAUAUAUCUUUUUCAUUUUAUGUAAUUGUUGUGCCUUAGAUUUUCAUUGAAUAUUUAUGUGCCCUCAGAAUGCACAGGCAUUGUACUAGACUCCUUUAAAGCAUCGGUUUCAUACAUCGCACGUCGUGCGUCAUGUGUGAAGUGCGUUGGUCGGUUCAUCUCCCCUGCUUCUCGCCUACUAAUGGAUUAUUACACCAUAGAUGGGUCAUGAGAGAAACCACCCAAGCCCAACAUGACAGGAAGCCACACACAACACAACGCUUAUACAUAGUAACACUUCGCUAACUGAAGGAGGACCUCACCAACCAAUGGGUCGUUAUGCCGCAAAUUAGUCGUAAGCAACUGUCGGGGACCAUAAUUAGAGGUACCCUCAAGGCUCCUAAUUUUCAGCUGGUAACCCCCAUCAGCAUAAAGCUGCAAAGGCCUGAUGGGUGCGAUUAAGUCAGGGAUCAGUCCAUUCGAGGGACUCGAUCACGCCUCGCCCGAGCCUAGCCUCGGACAAGGGCAGCCGACCCCGGAGGAUCUCCGCCUCGCCCGAGGCCCCCCUCCAGCGGCGAACAUAUUUCCGGCUCGCCCGAGGCCCUGUCUUCGCCAAGAAGCAACCCUGACCAAAUCGCCGCACCGACCGACCAAAUCGCAGGAGCAUUUAAUGCAAAGGUGGCCUGACACCUUUAUCCUGACGCGCGCCCCUCAGCCGAUAGAGCCGAAGUGACCGUCGUCACUUCGCCGCUCCACUGACCGGUCUGACAAAAAGACAGCGCCGCCUGCGCCGCUCCGACUGCGGAGCCACUUGACAGAGUGAGGCUGACAGGCAGUCAAGCCCCGCCGCAGGCACCAUAGGAAGCUCCGCUCCGCCCGACCCAGGGCUCGGACUCGGGCUAAGCCCCGGAAGACGGUGAACUCCGCUCCGCCCGACCCAGGGCUCGGACUCGGGCUAAGCCCCGGAAGACGGCGAACUCCUCUCCGCCCGACCCAGGGCUCGGACUCGGGCUAAGCCCCGGAAGACGGCGAACUCCGCUCCGCCCGACCCAGGGCUCGGACUUGGGCUCAGCCCCAGAAGACGACGAAUUCCGCUCCGCCCGACCCAGGGCUCGGACUCGGGCUAAGCCCCAGAAGACGGCGAACUCCGCUCCGCCCGACCCAGGGCUCAGACUUGGGCUUAGCCCCAGAAGACGACGAACUCCGCUUCGCCCGACCCCAGAACUCGAACUCCACCCUGGCCUCAGCCAACGGCCUCCGCCUCGCCCGACCUAGGGGCUCGGACUCGAUCUCGACCUCGGAGGAGCCUCUACAUCGCCCAACCUAGGGCGUGGGCCGGCCACGUCAACGGGAGGCGCCAUCAUUACCCUACUCCAAGCUGACUCAGGCUACGGGGAACAAGACCGGCAUCCCAUCUGGCUCGCUCCGCCAGAUAGGCAAUGAUGGCGCCCCGCACGCUCCCUGAUGAUGGCGGCUCUCGGCCCCCUUACGGAAGCAAGAGGACGUCAGCAAGGACUCGACAGCCCCGACAUUUGUCCCUCCGCCAGGCUCCAGCGCUCCUCCGACGGCCACGACAUCACACAAACCGGGCGCCAAAACCUCUCCGGCCGCCACGAUGGCAUGUACUUAGGGUGCUAGCUCUCCUCCGCUAGACACGUAGCACUCUGCUACACCCCCCAUUGUACACCUGGAUCCUCUCCUUACGCCUAUAAAAGGAAGGAUUAGGGCCCUCUUAGAGAGGGUUGGCCACACGGGGACGAGGACGAGACAGGCGCUCGCUUGGAGCCGCUCGCUCCCUCUCCCGCGUGGACGCUUGUAAUCCUCUACUGCAAGCGCACCCGACCUGGGCGCGGCACGAACACGAAGGCCGCGGGAUUCCCACCUCUCUCACGCCGGUCUCCGGCCACCUCACUUCCCCCCUUCGCGCUCGGCCUCGCGUCGACCCAUCUGGGCUAGGGCACGCGGUGACAUUCACUCGUCGGCUUAGGGACCCCCCGGUCUCGAAACGCCGACAGUUGGCGCGCCAGGUAGGGGCCUGCUGCGUGUUGACGAACAGCUUCCCGUCAAGCUCCAAAUGGGCAGUCUCUAGCAACCUCUCCGGCCCGGGACGGUGCUCCGUUUCGGGAGCCUUGAGUUCAUGUCCCUCGACGGCAGCUACGACAUGAUACUCCUUCCACCGCCGUGCGACAGCGACAAUGGCGGCCGACAGCCCGCCCGCCGGCGGCGGAAUCGACGACGUAUUCCCCGCGUGGUGGAAGAACAACAUUCGAGCUCACCCCGUCCUCUCCCCCGCCGACGGAGGAGGAGGCGGGGCAACCAAGGCCAAGCAGGAGGCAGCGCCUCGUCGGCUGUCGAGCGAGUCGACGGCGCCAGCGCCUCAGCGGGGGGCGCGUCGGGCAUCGACCUCGCGCUUGAGACGAAGACGAGCGCUGUCUCCCCACGACACGCCAAUCCCGAGCAAACGGACGACGCCAGCACGCUCGCGGAAGGCUUGCUGAGUGUCACCCUCGUACCCGAGACGACGGUGCAGUCAGUCCCCGACGUGACUUCAUCACCGCCCGUCGACCAAGAGGUACCGACCGAUUCCCAUCCCACGCCUUUCGGAUUCAGCCUCGACCCGCCUAGCGGCUUCGCUUUGGCGGACGCUCCCGCAGAGGCGAGUCCGAACACUCUGGGGCUUCGUAUGCGGUCACCUUGGGACCGGCUGACGGACGUCUCGACCUACGGGCCCUCCGGGUCCGAGGAAGACGACGAGCCCAGCUUCUGUUGGGAUUUCUCUAGACUUGGCAACCCCAGUGCCAUGCGGGACUUUAUGACCGCAUGCGACUACUGCCUUUCCGACUGUUCCGAUGGUAGCCGUAGCCUCGGCGACGAGGACUGCGGCCCAAGCCGCGAAUGUUUCCACGUCGAUCUAGGGGGUCCCUCCGAAGGCAACCAUCUCGGCAUGCCGGAGGACGGUGAUCUCCCUAGGCCGGUGCCUCGUGUUGACAUCCCACGGGAGCUAGUUGUGGUCCCCGUUCCGGCGGGGGGUCACGACCCACAGCUCGAGCAAACCCGCGGGGUGCACGCCAGGCUCGACGAGGGAGCAGGAGCGCUUAAGCCAAUCCGCCGGGACGUCGGGCAGGCAUGGGCGGGCCAACCUUCGGCCGAAGAAAUGCGUCAUCUACCCCAGGGCUUCCAGCACCGCAUCACCGACGAUGUCAGGGUUAGGCCGCCACCCGCAUCCAGUGGGGUCAGCCAGAACCAGGCAGCAGCAGCAAUGCUCCUCCGCGCGAUGCCGGAGCCAUCAACCACCGAGGGGCGGCGAAUCCAGGGAGAGCUCAAGAAUCUCCUGGAAGGCACCACGGUCCGACGGGCCGAGAGCUCCGCCUCCCGAAGGCAGGGGCACCCCUCGGAACAUCAUGCUGCGACUUCCUGAUUCAUGCGGGAAGCCUCGGUCUACACCGGGCGCACGCGCAACACAGCGCCUGCGGCCCCGGGUCGCCUCAGCAACGAGCACCAUCACCGCGACCGUCGGGCCCACCUCGACGAGAGGGUGCGCCGAGGCUACCACCCCAGGCGUGGGGGACGCUACGACAGCGGGGAGGAUCGGAGUCCCUCGCCCGAACCGCCCGGUCCGCAGGCCUUCAGCCGGGCCAUACGACGGGCGCCGUUCCCGACCCGGUUCCGACCCCCGGCUACUAUCACAAAGUACUCGGGGGAGACGAGACCGGAGCUGUGGCUCGCGGACUAUCGGCUGGCCUGCCAACUGGGUGGAACCUCCGAAGCUGCCGACAGCAGCCGGGAGAGUCUCUCCAGGACUACAUCCAGCGAUUCUCGAAGCAGCGCACCGAGCUGCCCAACAUCACCGACUCGGAUGUCAUCGGCGCGUUCCUCGCCGGCACCACCUGCCGCGGCCUGGUGAGCAAGCUGGGUCGCAAGACCCCCACCAGGGCGAGCGAGCUGAUGGACAUCGCCACCAAGUUCGCCUCCGGCCAGGAGGCGGUCGAGGCUAUCUUCUAGAAGGACAAGCAGCCCCAGGGCCGCCCAUCGGAAGAUGCCCCCGAGGCGUCAACUCAGCGCGGCGCCAAGAAGAAGGGCAAGAAGAAGUCGCAAGCGAAACGCGACGCCGCCGACGCGGACCUUGUCGCCGCCGCCGAGUACAAGAACCCUCGAAAACCCCCUGGAGGUGCCAACCUCUUCGACAAGAUGCUCAAGGAGCCGUGCCCCUACCACCAGGGGCCCGUCAAGCACACCCUUGAGGAGUGCAUCAUGCUUCGGCGCCACUUCCACAGGGCCAUGCCACCCGCGGAGGGUGGCCGGGCCCGCGACGACGACAAGAAGGAAGAUCACCAGGCAGGAGAGUUCCCCGAGGUCCGCGACUGCUUCAUGAUCUACGGUGGGCAAGCGGCGAACGCCUCGGCUCGGCACCGCAAGCAAGAGCGUCGGGAGGUCUGUUCGGUGAAGGUGGCGGCGCCAGUCUACCUGGACUGGUCCGACAAGCCCAUCACCUUCAACCAAGCCGACCACCCCGACCAUGUGCCGAGCCCAGGGAAAUACCCGCUCGUUGUCGACCCCGUCAUCGGCGACGUUAGGCUCACCAAGGUCCUCAUGGAUGGAGGCAGCAGCCUCAACAUCAUCUACGCCGAGACCCUCGGGCUUCUGCAUAUUGAUCUGUCCUCGGUCCGGGCAGGCGCUGCGCCUUUCCAUGGGAUCAUUCCCGGGAAGCGCGUCCAACCCCUCGGACAACUCGACCUUCCCGUCUGCUUCGGAACACCCUCCAACUUCCGAAGGGAGACCCUGACGUUCGAGGUGGUCGGGUUCCGAGGAACCUACCACGUGGUACUAGGAAGGCCAUGCUACGCGAAGUUCAUGGCCAUCCCCAACUACACCUACCUGAAGCUCAAGAUGUCGGGCCCCAACGGGGUCAUCACCGUCGGCCCCACGUACAAACACGCGUUCGAAUGCGACGUGGAGUGCGUGGAGUACGCCGAGGCCCUCGCCGAGUCCGAGGCCCUCAUCGCCGACCUGGAAAGCCUCUCUAAGGAGGUGCCAGGCGUGAAGCGUCAUGCCAGCAACUUCGAGCCAGCGGAGACGGUUAAGUCUGUCCCCCUCGAUCCCAGCAGCGAUGCCUCCAAGCAAGUCCGGAUCGGCUCCGAGCUCGAUCCCAAAUAGGAAGCAGUGCUCGUCGACUUUCUCCGCGCGAACGCCGACGUCUUCACGUGGAGUCCCUCGGACAUGCCCGGCAUACCGAGGGAUGUCGCCGAGCACUCGCUGGACAUCCGAGCUGGAGCCCGACCCGUCAAGCAGCCUCUGCGCCGAUUCGACGAGGAGAAGCGCAGAGCCAUAGGCGAGGAGAUCCACAAGCUAAUGGCGGCAGGGUUCAUCAAAGAGGUAUUCCAUCCCGAAUGGCUUGCCAACCCUAUGCUUGUGAGAAAGAAAGGGGGGAAAUGGCGGAUGUGUGUAGACUACACUGGUUUUAACAAAGCAUGUCCGAAGGUUCCCUACCCUCUGCCUCGCAUCGAUCAAAUCGUGGGUUCCACUGCUGGGUGCGAAACCCUGUCUUUCCUCGAUGCCUACUCAGGGUAUCACCAAAUCAGGAUGAAAGAGUCCGACCAGCUCGCGACUUCUUUCAUCACACCCUUCGGCAUGUACUGCUAUGUCACCAUGCCGUUCGGCUUGAGGAAUGCGGGCGCGACGUACCAGCGGUGCAUGAACCAUGUGUUCGGCGAACACAUUGGCCGCACGGUCGAGGCCUACGUCGAUGACAUCAUAGUCAAGACGAAGAAAGCCUCCGACCUCCUUUCCGACCUUGAAGUGACAUUCCGAUGCCUCAAGGCGAAAGGCGUCAAGCUCAAUCCCGAAAAGUGUGUCUUCGGGGUGCCCCGAGGCAUGCUCUUGGGGUUCAUCGUCUCCGAGCGGGGCAUCGAAGCCAACCCGGAGAAGAUCGCAGCCAUCACCAGCAUGGGGCCCAUCAAGGACUUGAAAGGCGUACAGAGGGUCAUGGGAUGUCUCGCGGCUCUGAGCCGCUUCAUCUCACGCCUCGGUGAAAGGGGUCUACCUCUGUACCGCCUCUUAAGGAAGGUCGGGUGCUUCACUUGGACCCCUGAGGCCGAGGAAGCCCUCGGGAACCUGAAGGCGCUCCUCACAAAGGCGCCUAUCUUGGUGCCCCCAGCUGCCGGAGAAGCCCUCUUGGUCUACGUCGCCGCGACCACUCAGGUGGUUAGCGCCGCGAUCGUGGUCGAGAGGCAAGAAGAGGGGCAUGCAUUGCCCGUUCAGAGGCCAGUCUACUUCGUCAGCGAGGUACUGUCCGAAACCAAGAUCCGCUACCCACAAGUUUAGAAGCUGUUGUACGCGAUGAUCCUGACACGGCGGAAGUUGCGACACUACUUCGAGUCUCAUCCGGUAACUGUGGUGUCGUCCUUUCCCCUGGGCGAGAUCAUCCAGUGCCGAGAGGCCUCGGGUAGAAUCGCAAAGUGGGCGGUGGAAAUCAUGGGCGAAGCAAUUUUGUUCGCCCCUCGGAAGGCCAUCAAGUCCCAGGUCCUAGCGGACUUCGUGGCCGAAUGGGUCGACACCCAGCUCCCAACAGCUCCGAUCCAACCGGAGCUCUGGACCAUGUUCUUCGACGGGUCGCUGAUGAAGACAGGAGCCGGCGCAGGCCUACUCUUCAUCUCGCCCCUCGGGAAGCACCUACGCUAUGUGCUACGCCUCCAUUUCCCGGCAUCCAACAAUGUGGCUGAGUACGAGGCUCUGGUCAACGGGCUGCGGAUCGCCAUCGAUCUAGGGGUCCGACUCCUCGACGCUCGCGGCGACUCGCAGCUCGUCAUCGACCAAGUCAUGAAGAACUCCCACUGCCGCGACCCGAAGAUGGAGGCCUACUGCGAUGAGGUUCGGCGCCUGGAAGACAAGUUCUACGGGCUCGAGCUCAACCACAUCGCUCGGCGCUACAACGAGACUACGGACGAGCUGGCUAAAAUAGCCUCGGGACGGACAACGGUUCCCCCGGACGUCUUCUCCCGAGAUCUGCAUCAACCCUCCGUCAAGAUCGACGACACGCCCGAGCCUGAGGCCCCCUCGGCCCAUCCCGAGGUACCCUCGGCACAGUCUGAGGCACCCUUGGCUCGGCCCAAGGCACCCUUGGUUCAGCCCGAGGUACCCUCGGCCCCCGAGGGCGAGACGCUGCACGUCGGGGGGAGCGAAGCGGGGUCACGCCUGAUCAAAACUGGCAGACCCCGUACCUACAAUAUCUCCACCGAGGAGAGCUACCCUCCGACCGAGCCAAAGCUCGGCGGGUGGCGCGGCGCGCCAAGUCGUUCGCCUUGCUGGGAGAUGAGAAGGAGCUCUACCACUGCAGCCCCUCUGGCAUCCUCCAGCGAUGCAUCUCCAUCGCCGAAGGUCAGGAACUCCUGCGAGAGAUACACUCGAGGGGCUUGCGGCCAUCACGCAGCACCUCGAGCCCUUGUCGGGAAUGCUUUCCGACAAGGCUUCUACUGGCCCACGGCGGUGGCCGACGCUACUAGAAUUGUCCGCACCUGCGAAGGGUGUCAGUUCUACGCAAGGCAGACCCACCUGCCCGCUCAGGCUCUGCAGACAAUACCCAUCACCUGGCCUUUUGCUAUGUGGGGUCUGGACCUCGUCGGCCCCUUGCAGAAGGCACCCGGGGGCUACACGCACCUGUUGGUCGCCAUCGACAAAUUCUCCAAGUGGAUCGAGGUCCGACCCCUAAACAGCAUCAGGUCCGAGCAGGCGGUGGCAUUCUUCAUCAACAUCAUCCAUCGCUUCGGGGUCCCGAACUCCAUCAUCACCGACAAUGGCACCCAGUUCACCGGCAGAAAGUUCCUGGACUUCUGCGAGGAUCACCACAUCCGGGUGGACUGGGCCGCCGUGGCUCACCCCAUGUCAAAUGGGCAAGUAGAGCGUGCCAACGGCAUGAUUCUACAAGGACUCAAGCCUCGGAUCUACAACGACCUCAACAAGUUCGGCAAGUGAUGGAUGAAGGAACUCCCCUCGGUGGUCUGGAGCCUGAGGACAACACCGAGCCGAGCCACGGGCUUCACGCCGUUCUUUCUAGUCUAUGGGGCCGAGGCCAUCUUGCCCACAGACCUGGAAUACGGUUCCCCGAGGACGAGGGCCUAUGCUGACCAAAGCAACCAAGCUAGUCGAGAAGACUCGCUGGACCAGUUGGAAGAGGCUCGGGACAAGGCCUUACUACACUCAGCGCGGUACCAGCAAUCCAUGCGACGCUACCACGCCCGAGGGGUCCGGUCCCGAGACCUCCAGGUGGGCGACCUGGUGCUUCGGCUGCGACAAGACGCCCGAGGUCGACACAAGCUCACGCCCCCCUGGGAGGGGCCGUUCGUCAUCGCCAAAGUUCUGAAGCCCGGAACGUACAAGCUGGCCAACAGUCAAGGCGAGGUCUACAUCAACGCUUGGAACAUCCAACAGCUACGUCACUUCUACCCUUAAGAUGUUUUCAAGUUGUUCAUAUACCUCGCUCCCACACAAAGUUUAGUCAUCAAGGAAGGGUCGGCCUCGCCUCGGCAAAGCCCGACCCUCCCUCGGGGGCUAAAAGGGGGGAACCCCCUCUGCGUCGAAUUUUUUCCUCGAAAAAAGAUCCUUUCUGCCAGAACGUCUUUCGUGCUUUUUGACUACUUCGAAAGUGGAUCCUGAAGACGACGGAGUACACGUAAGCAGCCAAGGCUGACCGAGCCGAGGGACUCCUACGCCUCCGGGAUACGGAUACCUCACUCAUCACCUUCUGCGAUAAGUAACUCACGUUCGGAUAAGUGAUUCCGCGGACCGAACAAGUCUUCACGUUCGGAAGCUCUUCUGCCGGAGCGAUUCUUCGAGCCUUCUCGACUGCGUCGGUGACAGAACCCCAUGGACGGGUAAGAGUGCGCGUAAGCGGCAAGGCCGACCGAGCUGAGGGACUCCUACGCCUCCGGGAUACGGAUACCUCACUCAUCACCUUCCGUGAGAAGCAACUCUCGCUCGCACAAACAAUUCUGUUACCGACAAAAAAGUCCAGAUACUCGAAACAAGAGGAAAAGAGACGCAGCUUUACAACAUGGCGAGGGUGUGUUUUGGCCUCGGCAGCCGCAGAAAACACACGCUACAAGAUAAUUCGAUCCUGUAGGCUCGGAUCUUGACGACUGAAGGGAGCAGCAGCACCCUCGCGUCGAUAACACCUUCGGCGAGGUCCGACCUAGCCUCGGACGGCGACGCGGUCCGAGGGUCUCCGCUCUGAAGGACAACGUCAUCACCAAGCCCAGGCCAUCGCCGCCAGGGUCUUCUCCGAGAAUCCGGCCCGAGCAGGCGGCUCGGUCGGUCACCCCGGGGCCUUGGCCAGCUAUCCCCCAAGGACAUCAGCCCGGCCCGAGGCCUCGGCAGAUCAAUUCAGGCGUCGGUCCCGCUAACAGACGACCCGGCCAGGCUCUGGCCGACCAGGUCUUCUUUUCGAGCCAACUCUGCCUCUGUUCGCACUGACACCGCUACCCCUGGCCUCGGCUCAUCGAAGAGCGACCGAGGGGUUCCUUUAACUAAGCAAGGGAAGCCUCGGACAACAAGGCUGACCGAGCCGUGGGACUUCUACGCCUCCGGGAUAUGGAUACCUCACUCGUCACCUUUACACGGGGCGACUCACGCUUGGUGAAGCGGUUCAGACAACCAAUAGGCGAGUCUUAGUGCUCGAAAAUAAGGAAAAAACACGGCUCCGUGCCGAAACUACAUACAUGUUCAGGCCUCGACAGCCAUAAUGAACAAAAACACUGGCAUUCAAAGUGCCAUUACAAACGGAACUCCGGUUCCACCUCCGCAGGUACGAACAACCCCACUCGAUGGGGGGGGAGCCUGCGGAGCAACGGAAGACCGACGAACGGCGCGCCGUCGCCCGCUCCGGCAGCGGCGACGACGACGACUUCUGCUCCGGGGGGCCAAACAGCGGCAGCAAUGACCUCAGGGCAGAUGCUGCCGCCAGGAGACCCCCGCCCAUGCCCAAAACUCGUGAGGCAAGGACGGGCAGAAGGCCGUAGAGUUGGAGGUCGGUCCAUGGGCGGCCCUGGCCAUCUCGUCGGCGGAAGAACCUCUUCCAGCUGCCGUGGUGGAAGCCGGCGCCGAGAGCAGCUCCGAAGCCACUCGGGUCCGAGAGCCAGGCAUGCAGCAGCUGCCAGCGCCACGGGCGACAACCGCCCUUCCCCCCGAUCACUGAGGGAAGGAGCGGGCCACCACCCACGCAGGGGCUGACCCCAACUCGGCACACUCCCCUCCCCAGCCCUGGUGAUGAAAAUCCUUGAGGCUGAGGGAGGGGCAGAGGCCGCGGCCCGGUUCGCUUUCCCCCGCCAUCAAACUGGAGGUCACCAUCUUGGGUGACCGCCGGCGGAGGGGUGCAACUGGGCUGCAUGAUGAAAAUCCUUGAAGCCGAACGAUGGCUGAAAGGUACCAACUCCCACGGAGUUGCGUUCCUCCAACGACGAGGCGGAAAGACGGCGGGUAUCCCCCAUCCGGGGGCUUGGAAGGUGGAAAGACACGAUGCAUAAGGGAGCGCGAAGACAUGGUCGCCUCCCAAGGGGGUCACCCUCCUUUUAAAGGCGACUCUCCCUACUUGCUUCCCCAGCCGUCGUGGGCUGAGUCUUCUCCAACACGCUCCAAGGUCCUCCCCUACGGUGCGGGGGCUGGGUCCCACACGUCAUGCAAGCCGGUCCAGAGCAGAAGAAGCCAAACCGCCGUGCGCGGUGCGUGCAACCGCCCAGCGGUUACAAGCGGCUCUCCACUUUUGCCCAGACCAGCAGGCGAAAAGGCGGGCAGCCAUGCAGGCGGCAUACAACGGCGCCAAGUGGGCGCACUUCUCCGACUCCCAACAUGCCCAGCAUGGAGGCCCAGGCCCACGCGUCAUGCAACCGGCGCGCCGAAUGCUUCGUGCAUGCGACUGCACCGCCACUUGCGCCACCACCGCGCCUCCUCGACUGCGGAACCAAUACCGCGACUCGAGGCGACCCAACGCACGACCCAGCAGCGCCAGCCUGGCGCGACGGUCAAUGUGGCCAAAAGUGGGCCGGCAGUAAUGGCGGUGGCAGGCGGGCAGGAGCAGCGGUCACGUCGUCAGCCAAGCUUACGUCCCAUCCGGGGGCAGCGAGAGAACCCUCUCUCACAGCGUGAAGACGACGCGUCCGUGUUCCGUUCCUCGAACGGCUCGCGCACGCGUGACGGCCGCCCCGCGAACCACUCGCCCCAUCGCAUUAACUCCGCGGCGGGACAGGCGGCGCCUCCGGCAGGAGAAGCAAGCGACGCUUCGCCUUCGCCAUAAUGACCGCGUCAAAAAAGGUACGCUGCGUCGUUCGAUUUCAUAUCCUUUUCCUUUUUUCCUCUUUCUCUCUCUUGCAACAGGGACCGGGAAAGGGGGAUACCCCGAAAAGGAUCCUUCCCCGUGAAGGAACCAGGCUCCGAGCCUCCCUACUGAUCAGAGGUUCGAAGGCUGGCCCCUCAGAAGGGUUCAACAGCCGCCUCAGAGCACGUGGGCUCCACACCCACUACUGGUCAGAGGUUCGAAGGCCGGCCCCUCGGAAGGGUUCAACGGCCGCCUCAGGCUACUCAGGCUCCGCGCCCACUACUGAUCAGGGGUUCGAAGGCUGGCCCCCGAAGGGUUCACAGCCGCCUCAGACACAGAGCGAGGGAUGACCAUGGGUACGUUCGAUACAUAACCAAGGCUCGGGCUGCGCUCCCGAGGUACCCUAGGACAUUUCCGAGACCAGCGGGAACGAUCUUGUAACGAAAUCCCAUCAGAGGGAGGCAUCGAGCCCUCGGACCCCAUCGCCAGGGGACUGGGUCCGGCAGAUCACCCGCAGGUACUUUUGGGCGCGCCUCUGGGCCUCUAGCCGACCCCUAACGAACGGGGCACGGACGUCCACUCGGAUCACCCGCCUGCAGCUCACCGGAGACACCAUGUUCGGCGCCCACCGAGGGCAACAUGGCGCUCUCCCCCCCCCCCUCCUCCUUGCGGAAAGGCGACGCAGGGGCGUAUGUAAAAAAGUCGAGUCUGUCCCUGAUCGCCCUCUCGCCCUGUGCAGAGGCUCGGGGGCUGCUCUCGCAAACCCGGCUCCGGCCACACCGUUGACAGCGUCAACAUACCAGCCCGAGAACUUGGGACCUGACCGUACACCCGGGCUACGGCCAGCUCGCAUGAGGGAACGACCAGACCAGCCGAAGCAUUGCGCGAGGCAUUAAGACCUCGGAGGAGUCAAACCACUCCUCCGAGGCCUCGGGGGCUACACCCGGCGGGUGCGCUCGCGCGCACCCACUGGAACAAAACGCAACCGAGAAAGGCUGGUCCCCAUGCAAAAAAGUGCGACGAAAGCCUCCAAGCGAGUGCUAACACUCCCUUCGAGGCUCGGGGGCUACUGUCGGGGACCAUAAUUAGGGGUACCCUCAAGGCUCCUAAUUCUCAGCUGGUAACCCCCAUCAGCAUAAAGCUGCAAAGGCCUGAUGGGUGCGAUUAAGUCAGGGAUCAGUCCAUUCGAGGGACUCGAUCACGCCUUACCCGAGCCUAGCCUCAGACAAGGGCAGCCGACCCCGGAGGAUCUCCGCCUCGCCCGAGGCCCCCCUCCAGCGGCGAACAUAUUUCCGGCUCGCCCGAGGCCCUGUCUUCGCCAAGAAGCAACCCUGACCAAAUCGCUGCACCGACCGACCAAAUCACAGGAGCAUUUAAUGCAAAGGUGGCCUGACACCUUUAUCCUGACGCGCGCCCCUCAGCCGACAGAGCCGAAGUGACCGCCGUCACUUCGCCGCUCCACUGACCGGUCUGAUAGAAAGACAGCGCCGCCUGCGCCGCUCCGACUGCGGAGCCACUUGACAGAGUGAGGCUGACAGGCAGUCAGGCCCGGCCGCAGGCACCAUAGGAAGCUCCGCUCCGCCCGACCCAGGGCUCGGACUCGGGCUAAGCCCCGGAAGACGGCGAACUCCGCUCCGCCCGACCCAGGGCUCGGACUCGGGCUAAGCCCCGGAAGACGGUGAACUCCGCUCCGCCCGACCCAGGGCUCGGACUCGGGCUAAGCCCCGGAAGACGGCGAACUCCUCUCCGCCUGACCCAGGGCUCGGACUCGGGCUAAGCCCCGGAAGACGGCGAACUCCGCUCCGCCCGACCCAGGGCUCGGACUUGGGCUCAGCCCCAGAAGACGACGAAUUCCGCUCCGCCCGACCCAGGGCUCGGACUCGGGCUAAGCCCCGAAAGACGGCGAACUCCGCUCCGCCCGACCGAGGGCUCGAACUUGGGCUCAGCCCCAGAAGACGACAAACUCCGCUUCGCCCGACCCCAGAACUCGAACUCCGCCCUGGCCUCAGCCAACGGCCUCCGCCUCGCCCGACCUAGGGGCUCGGACUCGACCUCGACCUCGGAGGAGCCUCCACAUCGCCCAACCUAGGGCGCGGGCCGGCCACGUCAACGGGAGGCGCCAUCAUUACCCAACUCCAAGCUGACUCAGGCUACGGGGAACAAGACCGGCGUCCCAUCUGGCUCGCUCCGCCAGAUAGGCAAUGAUGGCGCCCCGCACGCUCCCUGACAAUGGCGGCUCUCGGCCCCCUUACGGAAGCAAGAGGACGUCAGCAAGGACUCGACAGCCCCGACAGCUGUCCCUCCGCCAGGCUCUAGCGCUCCUCCGACGGCCACGACAUCACACAAACCGGGCGCCAAAACCUCUCCGGCCGCCACGAUGGCAUGUACUUAGGGCGCUAGCUCUCCUCCGCUAGACACGUAGCACUCUGCUACACCCCCCAUUGUACACCUAGAUCCUCUCCUUACGCCUAUAAAAGGAAGGAUCAGGGCCCUCUUAGAGAGGGUUGGCCGCGCGGGGACGAGGACGAGACAGGCGCUCGCUUGGAGCCGCUCGCUCCCUCUCCCGCGUGGACGCUUGUAAUCCCCUACUGCAAGCGCACCCGACCUGGGCGCAGGACGAACACGAAGGCCGCGGGAUUCCCACCUCUCUCACACCGGUCUCCGACCACCUCACUUCCCCCUUCGCGCUCGGCCUCGCGUCGACCCAUCUGGGCUGGGGCACGCAGCGACAUUCACUCGUCGGCUUAGGGACCCCCCGGUCUCGAAACGCCGACAGUAACCAUCCAAGUCCAACACGACAGGAAGCCACACGCAAUGCAUCGCUUCCAUGUAGUACCACCUUGCUAAAUGAAGGAGGAUGAGCGACCGAGCAAGCUAUAAAAAGGGGUCGAACUCAUUUUCAGCUCAUACCUUUCUCGAUCUUUUGUCUAAGAUAAAGUGUAGUAUUUGUUCUUAUCAGUUUUAUAUCUGAUAUGCAGAUCAUGUGUUCGCUUUAAUAUUAAAUUUAUUUUUGAUGGGUAUCAAAUAUGAUUGGAACCAUUACACCACAGAUGGGUCGUGAGAAACCACUCAAGCCCAACAUAACAUGAAGCUACAUGCGGCGCAACGCUCCCACAUAGUACAACCUUGCUAGCCGAAGGAGGACGAGCGACCGCAAGCUAUAAAAAAGGGGCCAAACUCCUUCUCAACUUAUAUUUUUCUUGACCUUUUGGCUAAAAUAAAGUGUAAUAUUUGUUCUUAUCAGUUUAAUAUUUGAUACGUGGAUCAUAUGUUCGAUUUAAUAUUAAAUUUAUUUUCAUGGGUAUCAAAUAUGAUUGUGUGAUGUCGCAAUGUACAGGCAUUGGACUAGUCUCUACUCUUUUAAUGCAUCAAUUUCGUGCGUCAUAUGCGAAGCACGUACAUCUAUAUCUAUCUCCACUUCUCGCCUAACAAUGAGUCUAAUAAGUUGUUACACCGUAUAUGAGCCAUAAGAAACCACUGUUAGAUGUAUAGCAUGUAUCUCGUAUAUAUGGUUAGGAUAGAAUUCGGCCUUCGUCUUCCGAAGGUCCUCAAAAACAUGAUUUAACAAUGUUUCCGGAGUGUAAUACAUGAACAGGUACCUUCAGACUCGGAUCAGAACCACAGUGUGAGAAGCACGAACAAUACGAAGGUUGAUGCAGGGCCGAAGCUACGCGCAAGGGAGCUUCGGCAUGACAGCAGGAAAGGGAACCGACUUAAAGGGGAAAAGGCUAUUUAGACCUCGAUGAAUUACCUUAAAGUCAUUAGCAAAUGUAAAGGGCAUGGAUGUAAUUUCACAUGGGCUGCGCCCCGUGCCUAUAAAUAGAUGAACAGUACUCCCGUACUGUUCACGAUGACUUGGCAUUUACUUUUGCGUCACGCUCGUACCUUUGUUUUCUGUCAAGCCGAAGGUACCAAAUGUUAUUCAAUAUUGUCCUUAUAUACUGAGAAAUAUAUAUGAUAAUGUUAUUGUUCACAUUGUUUCUUAUGCUUUACAUGCUCCAUUCGUUGUUAAUAUUCGUACAUAUAUGUAUGUUGAGAUGAUGAAGGUAUGUCCUUCAUGACCUUCGUCCGAAGAUCAUUAUAUCCUUGAGGAAAUAAUGCUUCGAAGGACGAAGGGCAUUAACAAAUAACUUGUUUUGGUGUUGCCUUGUUCUCAAUUUAUAGCAUUUGAGAGCAAGUUCCCAACAUUGGCGCCCACCUCCGGUGAACCCUCUUUUCGACCACCUUCGGCAAGCACUGACCUUCGUCAUGCCACUGAAGAAAGCUUCAGCGACAGGGGCUGCCGCACUGCAGCCACUAGACCCGAACCAGGAGACCCUUUCUCUUCGAGAGGCCCGAAGCCAGAAGAGGAAGGCCACUAGUCCAACACUCCAGGAGGAGGAGUUGGACCAAGAAAUCAGAAACAUGGAGAUAAUCCACCAGCAAGUGCAAAGGAAGAAGGAGAAGAUGGCCCGACUGGCUGAUCUUCAGAGGCAGAUCGACGAAGCCACCAAAGAAGUACGCCAUCUUAUUCAAGACGAACAAGAUCGAAGGCCCCAACACAGGGAGCUUCAUCAAGAAGGCUUGUUCAACAACGAUGGAUGGUAUAAUGAUUUUAAUCAUGAUACCUUUACUUUUGAUGAUGCUUCUCCCUUGGCAGCAGAACUGCAGGCUAUCCCAUGGCCCCCAUCAUACAAGCCACCUCAGCUUCCCAUGUAUGAUGGGCAUUCAGACCCGAAGCAGUUUUUGAUGAGUUAUGAAGCGAAUAUAUCUUCAUAUGGAGGCAAUGCAGCUGUCAUGGCCAAGUCCUUCGUCAUGGCAGUUCGGAAUGUGGACCAAACAUGGUAUUCUUCUCUUCGGCUAGGGACCAUUACUUCGUGGCAGAAGCUCAAGGAUAUGCUGGUGACAAGUUUCCAAGGCUUCCAGAUGAAGCCAGUCACAGCUCAGGCCUUGUUUCAGUGCACGCAAGAUCAUGAGGAGUACCUCCAAGCAUAUGUCCGAAGGUUCUUGCGUCUCAGAGCACAAGCGCCUACAGUGCCUAAUGAAAUUGUCGUUGAAGCCAUGAUUAAAGGGCUUCGUCCAGGACCUACUGCUUAGUAUUUCGCUAGAAAGUCCCCACAAACUCUGGAGAAGCUACUUCAGAAGAUGGAUGAGUACAUCCGGGCUGACAAUGACUUCCACCAAAGAAGGGAGGAAGCAUAUAGGUUCUCUAAAAUGACCAGGGGCUUUGAAGGAAGAAUCCACUCGAGGCAUGUCAGGUCAAUUCACAACUCCAUCCAGAGUGAUGACAGAGGAAGUCAACAGCAGAGACCACAGUAUUCUUCGCAAGCUUCGGGACAGCAACAAAGCUCUUUCUAGCCGCUAGCUCUAAGAGGCAGAGGUGCCAGGGGCUUCGGAGGAAGAUAUGGGGACCAGCCCAGGAAGAUCUACUAUCUAUUUUGUGGUGAGGACAAGGGCCACAAUACAAGAACGUGUCAAAUCACCAUCCAAAAGAAAAAAGAAAUUGCAGAAGCCGAAGCCCAGAAAAAUCAGCCGAAGCAGGUCCUGCACACUGCUUCGUGUCAUUCACCCUACAUACCAGAAUAUGUGGGUAAUCAUCCCGCAGCUUCUGUUGCUUCGGCUAGUCAGCCGCAAGUUUCUUGGCCACAUCUUCCACCUCCGCCGCCACUACAGCCUGUCUACUCAUGAGGUCAGCAGCUAGAAGGGAGCCAACAGACCCAUCAGCAGCGAGAUUUCAGGGAGGGGUCCGAAGCUCGCACAGUUAACAGCAUUGUGCCAGAAUCAAAACACAUAUAUUGAGAGAUAUCCUACCUUUGACACAGUUUUACAUUCACUGUCGUUUUCUUUUUAAUAAUGAACAAUCAAUGUAAACCUAGUUUUCUUGCUAUUUUUUUAAUUCUCUGUAUUAGCUUCGUUUAUGUCAAAAUGAAAUAUACCUUCGUCACAGACUCACGAAGAUGCCGAAGCUACAAAGAGAUAUUCCUUCGGGAAUGCAGUGCUAAAAAUCGAGUAAAAGUUUCACCGAAGCUACAAAAAGGCGUUCUUAAAGAACGCAGCGUAAGUUUGCUGAUGCUUCAAAAAGUCGUUCCUAAGGGGGCGCAGCGUAAGUUUUCUGCUCAAAAGUCGUUCCUUAGGGAAUGCAGAGCCAAAUACCGCCGAAAUAUAAGGCGAAGCGCGAAAAGUCAACGCGAAUACCGCCGAAAUAGUAGCGCGAAGAAGUUCAAAAGACGUUCCUUAGGGAAUGCAAAACUUACACCGAAAAAUAAACGGUGCAGUCGAAAAGUAAACGGCAAAGAGAUUUCAGUCAUUCCUUAGGGAAUGAAGGUUGUGGAAGAAGCUUCGGAUGUGUGUGUUUGGGCAUUCAUUUGCACGAUACAUUAGCAUCAUUCAUUGCAUCAUAUCGCAUAGCAUCACAUCAUACAUCAUAUCACAACAAUGAUAUCAAUUGAAAACAAGGCCGAUCUUCGGGCAAUGCUUUACAAAAAAUGAAAAGAGGCCAAGGCACAAAGUAAGCUGAAAAUCACAGCUUCAUCAGUUCUGAUGCGGAAAAAGCUUUUUUUACGAAGCAUUGAUGUUUUACAAAGUACAGAUGAUUUUUACGAAGCAUAAAGGCUCUUCUUUACGAAGCAUGAAAAGAAGGGAAGGUGUUUUUUCACCGAAGGCUCAAAAACGGUAUGUACAUAAAGUUUCAUGCAUCACAAAGAACUGAAUUACAAACAAUUCAUAUAUUACAUUCAAGUACCAAAUAUUACAAGCAUAGUUCAGCAAAUGUUACAAUAAUAUUCUAGAAAUAUUUUUACAAUAGCUACUCUUCUUCCUUCAAAACUUUAUCUGCAACUUCGAUCAGCAAUUUGGUAACGACUUCGUCUACAAUAGCUUCGGCCAUAUUAAUAAUUUCUAUUGUUUUCUUUGUCUCUGGGUCGGCCAGUGGGUCGAAUGGCUCUGGGGGAGGAGAUAGUUCAGCUGCGGUAGAAGACAUGAAUUAGUUCGAAGUCACAAAAAUAAACAACAAUAAAGUUAAAAGACAUUAAGUAAUACCUAUCCGUCUUUCAAGUUCCGCAGCUUUUUCAGCUGCUUUCGCUGCUUCUCGAGUGUCAUGAAUAUCUUUUUCGCUCUUUUUCAUUAUUUCAUGGGCCGUCCCUCAGCCGCCAUUUUCCCAGAUAUUAGUGAAAAAAUUUCCGCCUAUUGAGCUUGCUUCGGUCGAGGGGUCCUUCGUAUCGUCAAUAGAGAAGGCAGCUUCGGCCUAGGCCAAGGUUUUAACAUGUUCGCACCCUGCCUUCUCCAAAAUAGCUGCAACUCCCCUCGCACCAGAAAACGCACAGACAUCCCCGCGGUAACUCAAAAUUUCUUCAAAAGCUUCGGCUUCACCGCUGAUCCACUCAAUUACGCCCUCAGGAUCGCCCCUUAUGAAGUUGUCUACGCUCGAGUACGCGCCCACGUUGGCGAAGCUAGUCUUUAUCUUUUUUACGCAUUCCACAGAUUUUUCAAAGCAUCUUUCUUUUGAUGCACGAAGCUCUGCAACUGUUUUUUCAAAAUAAUUUUUCCAGUACUCACUGACAUCUCGAUCAGCUUCGGCAACUGCGCAUUUUAAUUUAGCCUCGGCUAACUAUUUCCGAAGGUCUUCAAUUUCACUUUUCUGGGCCUCAGCUUGGGUUUUCGAACUAGUCUCGUCUUAUUUUAUUUUGCUCACCAAUGAAAUUAAUAUUUUAUCUUUUUCAACGCCUUCGUUCCUAAGUUCAAUUACUUCCGAACGAAGGUUGUUCAGGGCUAUAGUGCAUCCUUCGUAUUCGAUAUUUUUCUGUGCCUUGAGGGCAUUGCUAAGGAUCAAGCCCUGCACAAGGAGCAUAGUAUUAAGUAUAAAAAAAUGAACAAAUUCAUUUUUUAAGUACAAAAAUUGAUUUACACACCUUUAUGCUGUUAUAUGCUAAACUAUCGGCCAAUUCAUCCUUCGACAGUACUGAAAGCCCAUCUUCUAAUGUUGGGAAUCCGAAGCUUCUGCUCAUCUCCCGGUAGACAGAUAUCUCCUUGCUGUCGGGGAGACAGUAUAAGAAAUCCUCUUCUCCGCUGCCAUUGAACACUAAUGCCCCUUUUGGAUAUUUUAGUCUCUGGGCAUAGUGUUGAGCCUCUCAUUCUUCUUCUUUAGAGAGUUUCUUCCCGAAGCAUGACAGAUGAUAUAUUCAAUAUUUUCCUUUAAAACUUUGGGAGUAGGAGUGACAGUUUUCUCAGGCAAACUCUGCUCUGUAGCCUCUUCCUCUGCUGCCUUUUUCUCAAUUUCUGAAGGUUGUUUAUCAAUAGGCUCUGAAGGCUCGGCUUCGGCACUAGAUUGGCUCACUGCACCUUCAACUUCGGCCGGUCUUGUUUCAGCUUUGAUUUGUAUUUUCGAAGCCUCGGCAAUUUUCCCUGAAGGAAUAGAACUUGAAGCCUUUACCGUCUCCAACACAUCUAGCACACUGGCCAUCCUUUUUCUCUUGGGGGUCGCCGCAAGACCUUUUUGUGCCUUCAGCAUUGUCACUUCUACCGAAGGGCUUAAAACCUCUAAUGUUUUUGUCCCUUCCACUCUUGUCUCCUCAAUAUUAUCAGUCUUCGGCUCAGCUAAUUUGGUUGAGGGUGCCUUCGGCAUUGCAGCUGGCUCUUCAAUUUUCUGCGUAGGAGGAGCAGGUUCUUUUGCUUCAGCAACUGCAGAAGUUUCCCCGCUAAACUCAGGCACUGUGGCCGGUUCAAUGUAGUGCGGUCGGUGGGUAAGGACCUUCAACUUUUUCCUCUUCGGCGCAGGCUCGCUUGGAGCAGCCGAAACAGCAACCUUUCUAGAAGUUGCACCCCUUCUUUUUUGACCCCGUGGCGGGUAGCGAUAGUCAGGGUACACAAAUCCAAUAGCAUCAAAAACUCUAUUUAAUCUUUUCUUUUUUGGCUCCCGAAGGCCGCAGAUAGUGCAUUAUCUUCGGACUUGGAAUAUGCUCCAAGUAGCUCAUCGCUAGUAUUUUCAACACACUUCAGCCAGUCGUCAUCUGGUUCGACAAACUGGUCUCCAAACCUGAAGGUGUAUUUCAAUCGAACCAAACCACCUUUGCUAGGGUUAGUGAUGGUUUCUUUUGGCAUUUCCCAACUAUCUAUCGGUGGCCAUAUCCUGUAGGCUACAUGUUCUUGAACUAAGUCUCUUGUCCUAAUAAAAGAGCAAACUGUGCUGAAGGCCCUUCGGCAUGCUUCGGCUACCUCAUCAAUUUCUACCUUCGGCUUGCGGAGGCCGAAGCGGGACCAGAUGGGGCGCAUGAUGAUCUCUUUAAUGCCUUCUCUCGCCUUCAAAUCAUUUUUCACAUAGAACCACUCUUCCAUCCAGGCCCUGGGCCACCUCUUCCGAAACGUUGGCACUGGGUAGCUUGAGCCAGAGCGAGCAACGAAGCUAUAGCAACCAAAAUUGUUAUGAUAUUGUUCUUUACCCCAGGGUUUCGUCUCAUACGAAAGUUCAUGCAUACUGCAAAAGCAUCUUGCACUUGGCUCUAGACCUUGACUUCUCACAGCCCAGACAAAGAUCCCCAAUCUAAUAAUUGCUUCGGGAGUGAUCUGGUGAAGGAAAAAUCUGGUAUGUCUUUAAAACUUCAACCACAAAUCUGCUCAACGAGAACCGAAGUCCAGCUUUGAAGAAGCUUCGGAAGAUCACAACUUCGUUUUCUUCGGGAGCAGGAACGGCUCUGUCUGCGUCAGCCCUCACAAUAGACAUAUCUCAAAAAUACCUUCCUCUCAUAUUAUCAAGAUGACUCUAUUUGAUAGUUGAUUUCCUGAAGACUGCAUGACUUGGUCGCCAGGGCCGAUCUUCAGAGUCUUCGCCUCCACUUUCCAUAUCAUAGCUGUCGCUAUCAUCAGUGUCUUCAGACAAGCCUUCUAGUAUCUCUUUAGUUAUCUUCUCUAUAUUUGUUUUUGCAAUUGACUCAAUAAAUCCAGCAGUCUUCUCCUCAAGGAGCUUCUCCGCUCAGCUUCGUCUCAGCAACAACCUUUUUGUCUUGAGACAUCUUUUCUUCGGGUAUGACGAAAAUGCAUCCUUAAAACCGAAGCUUAGGUAGUCUGAGAAACUAAGCAGGCAGUGGCAAGCAAGAGCUGAAAACUGAGUAAACAAAACAAGUGGCAAGUAGCGUACCAAAUGUGCUCAGGGUGAGUUCCUAUUUAUACGAUCGAUGCGCUCCAAGUUGGAGGGUCUCGUUUGUCAUUGACUGUUGCUAUUCUAGCAAAGGGAAGGUGUUUUUUCGGACCUUCAGCUUAAGGCCUUCGUCCAUAUCGUAAUCUGAAUUCGUUAUUCUAACAAAUUAAUGUUGCGAGGGGCUACUGUUGGGGGCCUUUGUCUUCCGAAGGCCCUCAAAAACAUGAUUUAACAAUGUUUCCGGAGUGUAAUACAUGAACAGGUACCUUCGGACUCGGAUCAGAACCACAAUGUGAGAAGCACGAACAAUACGAAGGUUGAUGCAGGGCCGAAGCUACGCGCAAGGGAGCUUCAGCAUGACAGCAGGAAAGGGAACCGACUUAAAGGGGAAAAGGCUAUUUAGACCUCGAUGAAUUACCUUAAAGUCAUUAGCAAAUGUAAAGGGCAUGGAUGUAAUUUCACAUGGGCUGCGUCCCAAGCCUAUAAAUAGAUGAACAGUACUCCCGUACUGUUCACGCUGACUUGGCAUUUGCUUUUGCGUCACGCUCGUACCUUUGUUUUCUGUCAAGUCGAAGGUACCAAAUGUUAUUCAAUAUUGUCCUUAUAUUAACUUACAACUAUAUACUGAGAAAUAUAUAUGAUAAUGUUAUUGUUCACAUUGUUUCUUAUGCUUUACAUGCUCCAUUCGUUGUUAAUAUUCAUACUUAUAUGUAUGUUGAGAUGAUGAAGGUAUGUCCUUCAUGACCUUCGUCUGAAGAUCAUUAUAUCCUUGAGGAAAUAAUGCUUCGAAGGACGAAGGGCAUUAACAAAUAACUUGUUUUGGUGUUGCCUUGUUCUCAAUUUAUAGCAUUUGAGAGCAAGUCCCCAACAGGAGCUGUGUCUCCUUUAAUCUCUCCUCAAUUAUAUCUUGCUGUUACCAUCCUUGUACACGGUGAUCAUCUAUAUAAGAAGGGCCAUCGCAUCCCAUUAUGGUGCACUGCCUAUCACAAUCAACAUGGUAAUAGAGCCAACGGUUUUCUGAAUGUCCACCAUCUCCUCCACAAUAUCCUCCUCCUCCCCUGCCACCAAUUCCUCUGGGGUGCCCAUGGCUGUCAACUCCCAAUCUGCUAUGGUGUUGGAGCGAAGGCAAAGACGCCACCCUUCGCUCGAGGCCUUCGCUGCAGCCGCUGGUCCGCCGGAGGCAAAGCGGGCAGGGACACCCUUCGCAGGACUCGGCGCUUUGACGAAGGCCUGCGGCGACGACCUCACACGGCGCGGCCUCGUUCAGCCCCAAGGCCCACGUGUGAUCCGGCCCAUUGUAACGGGCCCCGCGUGGCCGCCUCUGUAUUACGGGCCUGACUUGUAAAGGCAAACUUGUAAUUACAGCUUGUAACCCUGCUUUAUGGGAAUAUUCCGGGGAUAAACUAGGCGUCUGAGGGCACAUGCGUCCUUAACACAAGACGCUGGGCACUCAGACACCUAUAAAUACCCCGCACAGUGCCCGUGAGAGGCUAGAUCAACAGAGCUAUUGCCCCCGUGCACGUAACCCUGUUGUCGCCAUUGUUCACCCCCGUUGGCCCACUUGCAGCAGAGAGCAAGUUCCAACAUUUGGCGCCCACCGUUCGUGCUACGACAAAACCACCCGCGAUGGCACCCAAGCGAGCUAACCCCAAGGCUGACGAGGCUGCGAAGGCAGCACUGCUGGCCGCAAGAAAGGGCAAGGCCCUCGCCCUCACCCAAUCCACCCACCAAGAGCCCAUUGAGGACAAUGUUCCCCACACCGGCGAAGACGACACCUUCCGCACCUGCGGAACCGAAGGACAGUCGCAGCCGCCCCCAGGCUUCGCCCCACUGGAAGGCGCCGACCUCACCGAGGAUGGUGAGGCCCUCGGCGUCUCAACAGAAGAACAGCUGCAGCUGCGCGCCCUGCGCCUCAGGAACCGCAAUCUCCAGAGGCAGAAAGAGAUACUGGAGGCCAAGCGCCAACGUGUUUCCGCAUUAGCCAAAGUGCGGCAAAUGAUACGCGACGAGGAGCAGAAAGCCCAAGACCUCGAGCGCGAGAUCGCGCUGAUGCAGCGCGAAGGCCACCUCGGUUUGCAGCAAGAACCACCCCUCCAACAACGCGCUCAGCCGGAGGACAUGCGCGAAGGCUACCUCGGCCGACAGCACGGCCAACCCCUGCAGCACCGGGCGCAGCCGGAGAACCCGCGUUUCCCCCAGCAUGACUACGCCCCCCAGCACGGCGCGCCAUUCCAAGGGAUCAACUACCUCGACGAGCGAAGUCCCCUGGCGCCACACCUGCAAGUGACGCCUUGGCCAGCCAACUUUCGAGCGGGGGCAUACCCCAAGUACAACGGCAGCACCGAUCCGGCGCAAUACAUCAUGAGUUACCAAGUCGCCGUUGCAUCAGCCGGAGGGGACGACGCCACAAUGGCAAAGUCUUUCAUCAUCGCCCUAGAGGGCCCAGCACUCACCUGGUUCACCAGAUUGCCCCCGCUGUCCAUUGAUUCGUGGCGAAGUCUCAGGGACAAGUUCCUCCUCAACUUCCAAGGGUACCGUCCAGACACCGACGCUUUGGCCGAGCUCUCGCUUUGCAAACAGCUGGAAAAGGAGACUCUGCGGGAGUAUUACCGCAAGUUCUUAACACUCAAGUCACAGCUGCCCUCUGUCGACGAUCAGAUCGCUAUCCACUACGCCAUCAAUGGCCUUCGGGCCGGCGUCCUCUACAGCCAUUGUAUCAGGGAUCCACCCAAGAGCUUGCAGGAGCUAUAUCAGCUCUUCGAAAAAUAUGCCAAAUCCGAAGAGCUCCACCAGCGCAAGGUCGAGUCGCAACGGAAACCCAACAGUCAGACUCCGCAGUCCAGCCGCACGUGGACAAGGACUUCGCAGCCAGACUCUAGUCGAGACAGCCGCAGUCAGCAGCAAGUCCACAACAUCGUCAACCAACAGCCUGCUGCUGACCCCCUCGCCGCCAGGAAUAUCCCCCCCAAGGCCGCGGAAAUGGAACGCGCGGCAGGGGUCGAGGGCGGGCGCAGCAGCCGCCGCGCCGGUUCUAUUGCCUUUUCCACGGCGAAGACUGCGCCCACCAGACCAAAGACUGCCCCGAGACGAAGGCCACCAGAGAUAGAAUGGCGAGGGCGCAGCCGGCCGACAAUCCCAGAAUUGUCGCGCAUAACUACCAGCCACCCCCUCCACCAUACGUCCACGCCCCCGCUCCGCAUCCACCGCACCACGCUUACCAACAUCAUCAGGAAGUACAAAUCGUACCUCCUCCACCCCCACCACCACACCAGCAACACCAAAACAUUCCCCAUCCCCCAAAGCAAGAAGACUUCGCCGAUCAACCUUAUCGCGGAGUCAUUCACAUGAUAACAGGGGGGUCAAGCACCGACUUCGACACCAAGCGGCAGAAGCGGGACCACUACCGCAGCAUCAACCAUGUCGCCGUCACUGGCCCAGUCGUGCAGACGAAGUGGUCCCACAUACCGCUAACCUUCGACGCGCGAGACGUCGACCUGCGCAGCGCCCCCCACAUCGACGCAAUGGUCAUCAACUGCAGCGUGGCAGGUUGGGACUUACACAAAGUCCUUGUCGACAACGGCAGUCAGGCGGACAUCAUCUUCCUCCACGCCUUCGACCGCAUGGGUAUAAGCCACAGCUUGCUGAAGCCUUCGGACAACCCGUUGUAUGGUUUCGGCGGCAAGGGCACCUUUCCAGUUGGCAAGAUAGAGUUGCCCCUCUCCUUCGGUGUAGCACCCAAUGCCCGAAGUGAGCAAAUAACCUUCGACAUUGUCGGCAUGGUAUAUCCAUACAACGCCAUCAUGGGCCGAGGCUCCAUCAACAAAUUCGAAGCCGCCAUCCACGGGUUGUACCUAUGUAUGAAGAUACCAGGCCCGCUGGGCGCCAUCACAAUCUACGGCAACCAGCAGACGGCGCGCAACAUAGAGCGGGACUUCGUGCCCGGUCAGAGAAAUGUACACUGUCUCACGACCCAGCGCGAAGUCCCUGCGCCGGCUAGCCCAACCGACAAGCAGCACGACAAGGCACAGUUGCAGUGCCAAGACGGGACCAAGACUGUCCCCCUCGAUCAGGCCACGCCCAAGCAGACUGUAACUAUCAGCGAAGACCUCACGUCACUUGAAGAAGAGAAACUUCUCUGCUGCCUGGCCAAGAAUAAAGAUGUCUUCGCCUGGUCUGCCCUCGAUCUGGUCGGAGUCAGCCGAGCCAUAAUCGAACACAGCCUGGGGAUUGACCCUUCGGUGCGACCCAAAAAGCAGAAGCUUCGCAAGAUGUCAGAUGAAAAGACAGAAGCCGCCAAGGCGGAGGUGCAUCGCCUCCUGGAGGCUAAAUUCAUCGAGCCGGUGGCUUACCCCACGUGGCUCUCCAAUGUUGUGAUGGUGCAGAAGAAAAGCGGAAAAUGGCGCAUGUGCAUAGACUUCACCAGUCUCAAUAAGUCCUGCCCAAAGGACAAUUUCCCGUUGCCACGGAUCGACAAAAUAGUCGAUAGCGCGGCCGGAUGCGAGGUCAUGUCCCUCCUCGACUGCUUCUCCGGCUAUCACCAGAUAUACAUGAAGGAGGAAGACAAGGCCAGCACCAGCUUUAUAACACCCUUCGGCACUUAUUGCUUUGUCAGAAUGCCGGAGGGUCUCAAGAAUGCCGGGUCCACCUUCUCCAGACUCACCAAAACGGUGCUCGAAGGGCAGGUCGGCAGAAAUGUAUUCACAUAUGUGGACGACAUCGUCGUCGCCAGCAAAAAUAAGGAGGACCACCUCGCCGACCUGGCGGAAACAUUCGCGAGCAUGCGAGAUGCACGACUCCGCCUAAACCCGGAAAAGUGCGUUUUCGGUGUCCGCCAGGGCAAGAUAUUGGGCUACCUGGUGUCCCGCCGAGGCAUCGAGGCCAACCCAACCAAGAUCCAGGCCAUCGUCGAUAUGUCGCCUCCGCAGUCCGCCAGGGACGUCCAGCGCCUGACAGGCAGGAUGGCCGCCCUCAAUAGAUUCAUCUCCAGGUCCGCCGAGCGAAGUCUCCCCUUCCUCAAAACCCUCCGCGGCGCGAAGGACUUCGCUUGGGGACCGGAGCAAGCAGCGGCCUUCGCCUCAUUAAAACAGUACCUGGCGGAGCUGGCCAUCCUCACAAGCCCAGACUCCUCGCUCCCCUUAUUGCUCUAUGUCGCGGCUUCGCCGCACGCGGUCAGCGCGGCACUAGUGCAGGAGCAGACAGUCGAAGGCGCAGUCAGACAGUGCCCUGUUUAUUAUGUCUCCGAAGUCCUGACACCAUCCAAAUGCAACAUGACAGAGCUGGAGAAGAUUGCUUACGCAGUUGUUAUGUCCUCGCGCAAGCUGCGCCAUUAUUUUGAAGCAUUCAAGGUCCGAGUCACCUCGGACAGGGGACUCGGCGAACUAUUCAGGAACCCGGAGGCAUCAGUGAGAAUCGCCAAGUGGGCAGCCGAGCUCUCCGGCUACCACAUCAGCUUCGAGCCCAGGACAGCCAUCAAAUCGCAAGUCCUGGCAGACUUCGUCGUCGACUGGACUGGGCCAGUAACACAGCCGGACCCAUCCACAGAAAAGGUCUGGACUAUCCAUUGCGACGGUGCAUGGUGUCAUGCGGGGGCAGGCGUCGCUGCAGUCAUCACCUCACCAGCCGGAGUCAAACACAGAUAUGCAGCACGCCUCAGCUUCGCUCUGGAAUCCGACAAAUGUACAAACAACAUAGCAGAGUAUGAAGCAGUCAUCCUCGGCCUCCGCAAGCUAAGGGCCCUCGGAGUCACCACAUGUAUCAUCAAAACAGACUCCAAGAUAGUCGCCGGUCAGGUCGAAAAAGACUAUGCAGCAAAAGACCCCGCGCUCAUGCAAUACCUCGCGGCUAUCCGAAGUCUCGAGAGGCAGUUCAAGGGAUUCACCCUACAGCAUGUGGACAGGGCCAAGAAUGAGGAGGCCGAUGCAUUAGCCAAGGCCGCCGCCAGGGGCGAGCCCCUGCCCUCCGACGUAUUCUUUCACACCAUCGGCACGCCAGCCGUCCGGAGCCCCGAAGGGCUCCAAAUAACAAAUGAUAGCGAGGGCCACCGUAUAGUCCACCUAAUCAUGACCGAAGACUGGCGGGCCCCAAUAACCCUGUUUCUACAGGGAUACUAUCACCCAACCGACGUCAGUGAGGCGAAGCGCCUCGAGCAUCGGAGCCGGGACUUCGCGCUAAUCGAGGGCCAAUUAUACAAGAAGGGGGUCAGUCAGCCAAUGCUUAAAUGCGUCACCGAAACCGAAGGCAUCCAAAUCUUGCGCGAGGUCCACAGUGGAACUUGCGGCUCGCACGCGGGGCCAAGGGCCCUGGCUGCUAAGGUGAUCCGACAAGGGUUUUACUGGCCUGCAAUGAUCUGCGCCGCAAAUCGAGUCGCAAGGUCCUGCGAAGCCUGCCAGAAGUUCUCUCCUCGGUCAGGCAACCCCUCGCAAUACACAAAGCUGGUCGCCCAUACAUGGCCUCUUCAGCGCUGGGGCCUGGACAUCGUCGGGCCCUUGCCCACCGCUCAGGGGAACCUCAAGUUCGCCUUCGUAGCCGUCGAAUACUUCACCAAGUGGAUUGAAGCGAGGGCUGUGUCCACAAUCACAUCAAAGACUGCCCAAAAAUUCUUUUGGCAGAACAUUGUUUGCCGCUUCGGAGUACCGUCCGAGCUAACAGUUGACAACGGCAAGCAGUUUGACAAUCAAGAUUUCAAGGAUUUCUGUUUUUCCAUUGGCACCAAGCUUGCCUUCGCUUCAGUCUAUCAUCCGCAGUCCAACGGAGUCGUGGAGCGUGCCAAUGGGAAAAUCUUCACAGCCAUCAAGAAGAUGCUCCUCGACGAGAAAAAGGGCAGAUGGACCGACUUGCUACCGGAGGCAGUCUGGGCGCUGAACACAACCGAGUGCAGGGCGACCGGGUUCACUCCUUUCCGCCUUCUAUACGGAUCAGAGGCAAUGACCCCGCAAGAAAUAAAACACGGGUCUCCGCGCACAGCUCCGUCAGCCACCCUGACGUGGAUGAGCCAACCUCCAAAGAUCUCAUUGACGGAGACCGGGUCUUCGCCCUGCAGGCCUUAAACAAAUACCAAGCCCAGACCAAAGCAUGGCGCGACCGCGCAGUCAUCCCAAAGGAGUUCAGCGCGGGGGACCUCGUACUCAUCUGAACAGCUCGGACGGAGUCCAAGGGCAAGCUGGAGCCCAAGUGGGAGGGCCCCUUCAUAGUCAAGACAAAAGCUUCCCCAGCGCUUACAGGCUCGCAACGCCAGAUGGCGAGGACCUGGAGCACUCCUGGAACAUUGACAACCUUCGUAAAUUUUUUGUUUAAUUCCUAGGGCCGAGUUCGCCCUUGUAAUUCACCGCAAACAAUCUUGUACCGGCCCGCACUCUUUUCCUCCCGGGGGUGAGGUUUUUAACGAGGCGGAGCCAUGUAAUAUAUGUGAGAAAAAUCCCCCGCAAAAGCAUGUGUCGAAAAAAGACCGCGACAACGGUCUUCGGCAUUCGACCAAUUCGAAGUCACCGCGAGGCUAAGCGCUAGCCACCCUCGCGUGCGACCAAUCCGCGCAGAAGUCGCCUAAGGGUGCAGCCGGACUUAGCACAACAAGUGCGCAAAAAUCAAAGUCUAUCGCGAAGACUAUCCGCGCAGAAGUCGCCUAAGGGUGCAGCCGGACUUAGCACAACAAGUGCGCAAAAAUCAAAGUCUAUCGCGAAGACUAUCCGCGCAGAAGUCGCCUAAGGGUGCAGCCGGACUUAGCACAACAAGUGCGCAAAAAUCAAAGUCUAUCGCGAAGACUAUCCGCGCAGAAGUCGCCUAAGGGUGCAGCCGGACUUAGCACAACAAGUGCGCAAAAAUCAAAGUCUAUCGCGAAGACUAUCCGCGCAGAAGUCGCCUAAGGGUGCAGCCGGACUUAGCACAACAAGUGCGCAAAAAUCAAAGUCUAUCGCGAAGACUAUCCGCGCAGAAGUCGCCUAAGGGUGCAGCCGGACUUAGCACAACAAGUGCGCAAGAAUCGAAGUCUAUCGCGAAGACUAUCCGCGCAGAAGUCACCCAAGGGUGCAGCCGGACUUAGCUCCACAAGUGCGCAAAAAUCAAAGUCUAUCGCGAAGGCUUUUCGCGCAGAAGUCGCCUAAAAGGCGCAGCCGGAGCCUACCGCAAAAACCGCCCAAGGGCGCAGCCGACCCAGUAUGGCAAAAGCAGAAGCGACAGCAAGACCAAUUAUAAUCACACUGGCACAGCACAAUCAAUCACACCAGUCAAAGUACACAGCGCCCUCGCAGGCACAAGCACGCGAGGGCACACUACUCCAUUUUACAAACCCUUGCACAUACACAAGCGAGGGCACCACGCCCUACAUCGGCUCAACCUUAGGAAUAAUCCCCAUCUCUCUAUAAUUAAAUAACAUUAUCCUAAGCUCCUCACCAGCAAAAAGGCUUCGCAGCUCCCCUUCCCCCACACCCGAGACGGCCGGCAAAGACAGUAGCUCCUGCCGACCAACCCUACUAACGCGAAGCCGAGCCCCUUCCUCCGCACUAAUCCUACGCUUCGCAACCGCCCUUCGUCGUCGGUGCCCGGUGCUAGGACCGGGCACGCCUGGCGCGUCCGCAGCAUGUAGCGCAGCCUCCGCCGCAGCCUCGUCCAGGGCCGCAAAAUAGUCCAAGUCCUCCUCCGACGACUCCUCGGUCCAUUCAGCCGAGCUCCCAGAGUCAGUAAAAUCAAAAAACUCAGAAACAGACCCACCACAUUCAUUUCCACCUUCCGCGGUCGAAGCCGCCAAAAAACCAGUAGUAGCGGUUGCGUGCGCAGGCCCAAAAUCUUGAACCUGCGCAGCAACCAAAAUUCAGUACAUCAUCCAAAAAUCCCUCAACCCUAAACACCACCUACGCCACCUGCGAAGGCCCUGCCGCUGCGGGAGCCUCCGCCGCCGCCUCCGCCGUUGUCUCCGCUGGAUCUUCAGCGCCCGGCACAGCAGCUGCGGGGGCAUCAGACGCGCCUUCGGCCACCCUUGGGAGUAGGCCUUCGCCGGCCGCAGCAGGUACAAGGGCGCCUGGUGCAUCUUCCGCGGUCACCGGGGCGACUCCAGUGGCGGCCUCCGCAGGGGUGGUCUCCGGCUCAGGCGGCGCGCUGUUCAGCGCCCCAAAAUCGUCCACCCGCUCGCCGCGCUCCGCCUAAGACAAAACGUACAAAAAUUCAGCAAACACACGCACAAACCGCAUCCAGCAAGCACCGAGUAAACGACAACGUUACCUGAGCCCUUGCAGCCUCGGCCCGCGCCCGGACCACCUCUCGACCGUAUGAACCCCACAUCCGGUCAUAGAGGGCCCCGGCGGACUCCUUCACCACGGGGUCUUCGACCUCAAAGAUAUCUCGCCCAAAAUCUUCAUCCACCUGGUCGAGGGCCUCAAAGUGCCGGCAGCCUUCGCGAGAGAGCGCGUUCAUCGCUGCCUCGCAGGUGACCAGGGAGGUGAACGACAUCAACCCCGCCAAGACAGUGGGGAGCUCCUGCAGUUCCUCCUGCACCCACUCCAGACAGCGAAGUCCGGCCUCUCGCUCCGGCACCUCGAAGUCGCUCGUCCGCACACCCAGCUCGCGAUAUGAAGUCAUGAGCUGCGUGCGCGUCCGUUCGGCCUCCGCUCGCGCCGCGGCCUCGGCCCCCUCCGCGCGGCUCUCGAAGGCAGCAAGCCGCCGCUGCAGCUCCCGGCGAGCUCCUUGGCGACAUUGCCCUCCGCCCGCGCCAGCCUGGCCUCCGCCUGUGCAGACUGCUCCUUGGCGAUGGCUUCGUUGGCCUCCUUCUCUCCUCCAUCAGCUGGCGCCGGAGGUCUGCCUUCUCCUUCUCAAGGGCGGCCACCUUCUCCGCCAGCUUGCGGCACUUGCUGUCGGAGGCCGACUUCUCACGGACAGCGUCCGCGUGCUGCGUCCGAAGUCUCUCGACCUCGGCAGACAACGUCGCCGUAAGGGCCCCCGACGCAGUACGGCUGGUGAAGUCAGCCACCUGCAGAACACACAUAAGGCCCGUGUUAAAAAAAAAAAAGCUCGGCAGACCUGACUCAGCGCCUCCAUUGCUCCUUUCAGCCGGCGGGUCGCCGCGUCCGCCUCGUCUCUGACCAACGCGAGGGCAGUCACCUCGCCUCCAGCGCCAAGGGUCUCUACCCCGCCUUCGGCGCUGGCGCAGCCGUCGCGACCGCCGCGCCAGGCACAACUAGAGCGAGCGGGCCCUCGUCCAACCCUGCAACGCAUCAACAGAUUUAAAAAAAAAUGUGUAUACAUAUAGACUCACCCCAAGAUAAUCCUCCACAUCAAUCUCAGUGCCGAAGUCGGCAACGCGUUUGCCGGGCGGCGGUAGCGAUCGGGCCGCCUUCGCAGCCUCCGCCACUCCGCUGGCGGACGGCACCACCUUCGACAGCUUGGGCCUCCGGCGCCCACCGUCGCCUCCGGCGCCUUGCCAGGCGCGGAGGCACCCGCCUUCGCCGGCAAUGGCGGCUUGCCUCCGCCGGAGGCCUCAGCCUUCGAUGCUCCCGCUGCCUUUCGGCCGGGCUUCAUGAACCCUCACGGUCGCCUGGCGUUUCCGCGCCGCCGCUUGGCGAUCCUUGUCCAUCACUGCCCACACAACAUGACCGAUAUUUCGCCCAUAAGGAAAAACUUUCCACCGACGAGCCAUACGAGAUGUAAAACAGUCCUCUUCAUCCCAGGGAUAGGAAUGUUUUUAGGCCAGCAACCCCGGUAACCCUCAGCAUCCGAGCCGAAGACUCCCGGAGCUCGGGCGAAGACAUCCUCUCCCCGGGGCCGCACACGUCCUCAUUACUCUCUAGCGAAACUAUCAGACACCCCCAAGCCCUCCCAUCGCAGUACUAAUUUUCUCUUUUUCGAAGAGGUGCGGCCGCCAGCGCAGGGUCGCCUCCGGCUCCACCGCCGGUUUCUUCCCGCGGCGGUCUGCUUCGUCCUGACCAGGGUAGCCGUCGUACGGCAGUUGAUUUAAUUCAAAGACCCUGUUCAAGCGAUCGUUUGACCACGGAUAUCAAAACUGCGCUGGCCUUCCGUCUUCGCACGUAGCGCCCCACGAGUCGCACCGCCAAGUCUUCUGCAUCACGCACGAAGGCGGCCGGGUCACGGUUCCGCAAACUCAGUGCGAAGGCAGGACUUCGCACCUCCUUCCUCCGUGAAAGGGCAUCUGGCGAGGGCAUACUUCGCCCAGCGCCCAGCCGUGCGCCAAGGGCCAGACCCCGUACGCGCAAACUCUUCAACCAAAUCACGCCCGCUGCUCUGACCGGCGGCGUACCGAAGGGCCCCUUCGUCUGUAUCUCUCUGCCACUUCGAAAGGCGGAUACGCAGAGUAAUAGUGGAAACACAUUUCGGACACGGGGAGCCCUUGAUGGCCUUCGACAGUAGCCUCAGCAACAUAAAACCAAAACUCAUUCCAACUGCCCCACUUAUUGCGGGCGCACGGGACCAACUCCACUACUGGCAUCGUGGUCUUGCCGGUCUUCGGCGUGAAAGUGCACGACCCGAACUGCGCAACUCCGCCCUCAACCACCCUUUUCUGCCAUGCAAGCAAUAAUUCUUCGCGAAAACUUCAACCGACGGCUGCCCGCGUACGAAGUCGUCGCCCAGACAUACUUCGCCAGCGCCACUAUGGCGUUCGGCGUAAGCUGAUGUAUUUGAACACUGAAUCUGCGCAGGACUUCGCUGACAAACCGGUGCGCAGGCAGCGGAGUCGGCGGCGAGAACGCCUCGAAAACAACCAACUCGCCUCCGGCUCGGGGACUUCCUCCGUCCCCGGAGCACGAGCGACUCCGCCGCCAAAGUAGCCCAACCGCUGCAUAUCUUCAUACGGCCUGACGUCAUCCGUGACACACCGAAUUCAACAGAGUCGCCGGCGCGCAACUCUUCCACCAUCGCGUUACUCAACGUCUCCUCAGACGAGGCGCGCGGCGGCGUGGCGGUGGCGGAAGAAGAAGAGGAUGGCAUGGCUACGUACCGUCGGCGGCGGCGGGUUUGCUUCACUCGAGCCAGAACGACGGCGAGCAAAGGAGCAGCGGAGGAAAAGGAGCAGCAAGACGGCGGGCGGCUAGGUUUUACGGAGCGCGGAAAGCAGAAUUCAAACAGCGCGCCCCCGCCCCCUUUUAUAGGCAGGGCGCGGCUCCUCGGGAAACCCACAACCCGACAGGCCGCGACGCUUCGGGAAACCCGCAAUCCAACAGUACGCCGUCCAUCAACGGUCACAUCAAAAACCCCCGCGGAACCACUUCGAGCGAGGCAGCGUCUCCGCCAUCUAGCGACGUCUUCGGCACCAGGUGACUUUGUCGAACUGGUCCCUCGGAGGGCAAAUGUUGGAGCGAAGGCAAAGACGCCACCCUUCGCUCGAGGCCUUCGCUGCAGCCGCUGGUCCGCCGGAGGCAAAGCGGGCAGGGACACCCUUCGCAGGACUCGGCGCUUUGACGAAGGCCUGCGGCGACGACCUCACACGGCCGGCCUCGUUCAGCCCCAAGGCCCACGUGUGAUCCGGCCCAUUGUAACGGGCCCCGCGUGGCCGCCUCUGUAUUACGGGCCUGACUUGUAAAGGCAAACUUGUAAUUACAGCUUGUAACCCUGCUUUAUGGGAAUAUUCCGGGGAUAAACUAGGCGUCUGAGGGCACAUGCGUCCUUAACACAAGACGCUGGGCACUCAGACACCUAUAAAUACCCCGCACAGUGCCCGUGAGAGGCUAGAUCAACAGAGCUAUUGCCCCCGUGCACGAACCCUGUUGUCGCCAUUGUUCACCCCCGUUGGCCCACUUGCAGCAGAGAGCAAGUUCCAACUAUGGCGUCCCUGNNNNNNNNNNNNNNNNNNNNNNNNNNNNNNNNNNNNNNNNNNNNNNNNNNNNNNNNNNNNNNNNNNNNNNNNNNNNNNNNNNNNNNNNNNNNNNNNNNNNUUCCUCCAACGACGAGGCGGAAAGACGGCGGUAUCCCCAUCCGGGGCUUGAAGGUGGAAAGACACGAUGCAGAAGGACGCGAAGACAUGUCGCCUCCCAAGGGGUCACCCUCCUUUUAAAGGCGACUCUCCCUACUUGCUUCCCCAGCCUCGUGGGCUGAGUCUGCUCAACACGCUCCAAGGUCCUCCCCUACGGUGCGGGGCUGGGUCCCACACGUCAUGGCAAGAACCGGUCCAGAGCAGAAGAAGCCAAACCGCCGGCGCGUGCGUGCAACCGCCCAGCGGUUACAAGCGGCUCUCCACUUUUGCCCAGACCAGCAGGCGAAAAGGCGGGCAGCCAGCAGGCGGCAUACAACGGCGCCAAGGGGCGCCUUCUCCGACUCCCAACAUGCCCAGCAUGGAGGCCCAGGCCACGCGUCGCAACCGCGCGCCGAAUGCUUCGUGCAUGCGACUGCACCGCCACUUGCGCCACCACCGCGCCUCCUCGACUGCGGAACCAAUACCGCGACUCGAGGCACCCAACGCACGACCCAGCACGCCAGCCUGGCGACGGUCAAGUGGCCAAAAGUGCGCGCAGUAAUGCGUGCAGCGGGCAGGAGCAGCGUCACGUCGUCAGCCAAGCUAGUCCCAUCCGGCAGCGAGAGAACCCUCUCUCACAGCGUGAAGACGACGCGUCCGUGUUCCGUUCCUCGAACGGCUCGCGCACGCGUGACGCCGCCCCGCAACCACUCGCCCCAUCGCAUUAACUCCGCGGCGGGACAGGCGGCGCCUCCGCAGGAGAAGCAAGCGACGCUUCGCCUUCGCCAUAAUGACCGCGUCAAAAAAAGUACGCUGCGUCGUUCGAUUUCAUAUCCUUUCCUUUUUCCUCUUUCUCUCUCUGCAACGGACCGGAAAGGGGGAUACCCCGAAAAGAUCCUUCCCCGUGAAGAACCAGGCUCCGAGCCUCCCUACUGAUCAGAGGUUCGAAGGCUGGCCCUCAGAGGUCAACAGCCGCCUCAGAGCACUGGGCUCCACACCCACACUGUCAGAGGUUCGAAGGCGGCCCUCGAAGGGUUCAACGGCCGCCUCAGGCUACUCAGCUCCCGCCCACUACUAUCAGGGGUUCGAAGGCUGGCCCCGAAGGGUUCACAGCCGCCUCAGACACAGACGAGGAUGACCAUGGGUACGUCGAUACAUAACCAAGGCUCGGGCUGCGCUCCCGAGGUACCCUAGGACAUUUCCGAGACCAGCGGGAACGAUCUGUAACAAAUCCCAUCAGGGAGGCAUCGAGCCUCGGACCCAUCGCCAGGGACUGGGUCCGGCAGAUCACCCGCAGGUACUUUUGGGCGCGCCUCUGGGCCUCUAGCCGACCCCUAACGAACGGGGCACGGACGUCCACUCGGAUCACCCGCCUGCAGCUCACCGGAGGAACACCAUGUUCGGCGCCCACGAGGGCAACAUUGGCGCUCUCCCCCCCCCCCUCCUCCUUCGGAAAGGCGACGCAGGGGCGUAUGUAAAAAGUCGAGUCUGUCCCUGAUCCCUCUCGCCCUGUGCAGAGGCUCGGGGCUGCUCUCGCAAACCCGCUCCGGCCAACCGUUGACAGGUCAACAUACCAGCCCGAGAACUUGGACCGACCGUCACCCGGCUACGGCCAGCUCGCAUGAGGAACGACCAGACCAGCCGAAGCAUUGCGCGAGGCAUUAAGCCUCGGAGGAGUCAAACCACUCCUCCGAGGCCUCGGGGGCUACACCCGGCGGUGCGCUCGGCGCACCCACUGGAACAAAACGCAACGAGAAAGGCUGGUCCCCAUGCAAAAAAGUGCGACGAAAGCCUCCAAGCGAGUGCUAACACUCCCUUCGAGGCUGGGGCUACUGUCGGGGACCAUAAUUAGGGGUACCCUCAAGGCUCCAAUCUCAGCUGGUAACCCCCAUCAGCAUAAAGCUGCAAAGGCCUGAUGGGUGCGAUUAAGUCAGGGAUCAGUCCAUUCGAGGGACUCGAUCACGCCUUACCCGAGCCUAGCCUCAGACAAGGGCAGCCGACCCGGAGGAUCUCCGCCUCGCCCGAGGCCCCCUCCAGCGGCGAACAUAUUUCCGGCUCGCCCGAGGCCCUGUCUUCGCCAAGAAGCAACCCUGACCAAAUCGCCGCACCGCCGACCAAAUCCAGGAGCAUUUAAUGCAAGGUGGCCUGACACCUUUAUCCUGAGCGCGCCCCUCAGCCGACAGAGCCGAAGUGACCGCCGUCACUUCGCCGCUCCACUUGACCGGCCUACGAAAGACAGCGCCGCUGCGUCCGCUACCGACUGCGAUGCCACUGACAGAGUGAGGCUGACAGGCAGUCAGGCCCGGCCGCAGGCACCAUAGAAGCUCCGCUCCGCCCGACCCAGGGCUCGGACUCGGGCUAAGCCCCGGAAGACGGCGAACUCCGCUCCGCCCGACCCAGGGCUCGGACUCGGGCUAAGCCCCGGAAGACGGUGAACUCCGCUCCGCCCGACCCAGGGCUCGGACUCGGGCUAAGCCCCGGAAGACGGCGAACCUCUCCGCCUGACCCAGGGCUCGGACUCGGGCUAAGCCCGGAAGACGGCGAACUCCGCUCGCCCGACCCAGGCUCGGACUUGGGCUCAGCCCCAGAAGACGACAAUUCCGCUCCGCCCGACCCAGGGCUCGGACUCGGGCUAAGCCCCGAAAGACGGCAACUCCGCUCCGCCCGACGAGGGCUCAACUUGGCUCAGCCCCAGAAGACGACAAACUCCGCUUCGCCCGACCCCAGAACUCGAACUCCGCCCUGGCCUCACCAACGGCUCCGCCUCGCCCGACCUAGGGGCUCGGACUCGACCUCGACCUCGGAGGAGCCUCCACAUCGCCCAACCUAGGGCGCGGGCCGGCCACGUCAACGGGAGGCGCCAUCAUUACCCAACUCCAAGCUGACUCAGGCUACGGGGAACAAGACCGGCGUCCAUCUGGCUCGCUCCGCCAGAUAGGCAAUGAUGCGCCCCGCACGCUCCCUGACAAUGGCGGCUCUCGGCCCCCUUACGGAAGCAAGAGGACGUCAGCAAGGACUCGACAGCCCCGACAGCUGUCCCUCCGCCAGCUCUAGCGCUCCUCCGACGGCCACGACAUCACACAAACCGGGCGCCAAAACCUCUCCGGCCCCACGAUGGCAUGUACUUAGGGCGCUAGCUCUCCUCCGCUAGACACGUAGCACUCUGCUACACCCCCAUGUACAC
RNAcentral lists this long non-coding RNA (38824 nucleotides) under Zea mays. RNAcentral's name for it is "long non-coding RNA (ZMAY_LNC004234)". The stretch from base 15550 to 15713 matches the Rfam family "U2 spliceosomal RNA". Lineage: Eukaryota; Viridiplantae; Streptophyta; Magnoliopsida; Poales; Poaceae. The record is from RNAcentral.